UGUGAGCAGGGUGUUGGGCCCAUACACUUC
Molecule: non-coding RNA, 30 nt
Filed under: Homo sapiens (human)
Lineage: Eukaryota; Metazoa; Chordata; Mammalia; Primates; Hominidae
Source: RNAcentral